This 261-nucleotide ribosomal RNA is filed under the name uncultured bacterium. RNAcentral's name for it is "partial 16S ribosomal RNA". It matches the Rfam family "Bacterial small subunit ribosomal RNA", at positions 335 to 612 of the family's 1533-position model. The record is from RNAcentral.
ACGCCCUACGGGGGGCAGCAGUGGGGGAUAUUGCGCAAUGGGGGGAACCCUGAUGCAGCGACGCCGCGUGGGUGAAGAAGCGCCUCGGCGCGUAAAGCCCUGUCAGCAGGGAAGAAAAUGACGGUACCUGAAGAAGAAGCCACGGCUAACUACGUGCCAGCAGCCGCGGUAAUACGUAGGGGGCAAGCGUUAUCCGGAUUUACUGGGGGUAAAGGGGGCGCAGACGGCGAUGCAAGCCAGGAGUGAAAGGCCGGGGCCCAA